CCAAUAGCGUAUAUUAAAGUUGUUGCAGUUAAAAAGCUCGUAGUUGAAUUUCGGGACCAAUAUGUUGGUCGUGCUUCGGUACGUACUUGCAUUAUUGGUCUCUCCCUUCUGAAGAACCAUGAUGUCAUUAAUUUGGUGUCUUGGGGAAUCAGGACUGUUACUUUGAAAAAAUUAGAGUGUUUAAAGCAGGCUCACGCUUGAAUACAUUAGCAUGGAAUAAUGAAAUAGGACGUUUGAUUCUAUUUUGUUGGUUUCUAGGAUCGACGUAAUGAUUAAUAGGGAUAGUUGGGGGCAUUAGUAUUCAAUUGUCAGAGGUGAAAUUCUUGGAUUUAUUGAAGACUAACUACUGCGAAAGCAUUUGCCAAGGAUGUUUUCAUUAAUCAAGAACGAAAGUUAGGGGAUCGAAGACGAUCAGAUACCGUCGUAGUCUUAACCAUAAACUAUGCCGACUAGGGAUCGGAUGAUGUUAUUUUUGAUGACUCAUUCGGCGCCUUACG
This 497-nucleotide ribosomal RNA is filed under the name uncultured Glomeromycotina. Its description in RNAcentral is "partial small subunit ribosomal RNA". It matches the Rfam family "Eukaryotic small subunit ribosomal RNA", at positions 591 to 1092 of the family's 1831-position model. Lineage: Eukaryota; Fungi; Glomeromycota. The record is from RNAcentral.